GGCUACGUAGCUCAGCUGGUUAGAGCACAUCACUCAUAAUGAUGGGGUCACAGGUUCGAAUCCGUCGUAGCCACCA
Molecule: transfer RNA, 76 nt
Filed under: Klebsiella pneumoniae
Lineage: Bacteria; Pseudomonadati; Pseudomonadota; Gammaproteobacteria; Enterobacterales; Enterobacteriaceae
Also listed under: 3 other names
Description: tRNA-Met
Rfam family: tRNA
About the family: Transfer RNA (tRNA) molecules are approximately 80 nucleotides in length.
Source: RNAcentral